Podarcis lilfordi (Lilford's wall lizard) is the source of this 78-nucleotide non-coding RNA. NCBI's taxonomy places the organism in Eukaryota, Metazoa, Chordata, Lepidosauria, Squamata, Lacertidae. The record is from the annotation of a GenBank genome assembly.
AUAUAUAUAUAUAUAUAUAUAUAUAUACACACACACACACAUACAUAUGUGCGCAUAUAUAUAUAUGUGUGUGUGUGU